GGGCUCAUAGCUCAAUUGGUAGAGCAGCGGACUCUUAAUCCGGAGGUUGAAGGUUCGAUUCCUUCUGGGCCCACCA
RNAcentral lists this transfer RNA (76 nucleotides) under Myxococcales bacterium. RNAcentral describes it as "tRNA-Lys". It matches the Rfam family "tRNA". From Rfam's summary of the family: Transfer RNA (tRNA) molecules are approximately 80 nucleotides in length. The record is from RNAcentral. Lineage: Bacteria; Pseudomonadati; Myxococcota; Myxococcia; Myxococcales.